RNAcentral lists this transfer RNA (72 nucleotides) under Ictidomys tridecemlineatus (thirteen-lined ground squirrel). Its description in RNAcentral is "Spermophilus tridecemlineatus (thirteen-lined ground squirrel) tRNA". It matches the Rfam family "tRNA". From Rfam's summary of the family: Transfer RNA (tRNA) molecules are approximately 80 nucleotides in length. The record is from Rfam by way of RNAcentral. Lineage: Eukaryota; Metazoa; Chordata; Mammalia; Rodentia; Sciuridae.
GGGAAUAUGGCUUAGUGGUAGAGUCCUUGCCUUGCAUGUAUGAAGCCCUGGGUUCAAUCCCCAGCACCACCA